This 220-nucleotide unclassified non-coding RNA is filed under the name uncultured fungus. RNAcentral's name for it is "sequence contains ITS2". The record is from RNAcentral. Lineage: Eukaryota; Fungi.
AAUUCUCAACUCCCCUCAGAUUCCAUCUGUAGGGUGAGCUUGGACUUGGAGGUUUCUGCUGGCGUUCGCCGGCUCCUCUUGAAAUCAUUAGCUUUGAGUUGAUCUUGAUGGCUUGACCGGUGUGAUAAACAUCUACGCCGAUUUGUGCCGUCCUGAGCGACGAAUGUCGGAGACGCUCUGGCUUAUAACUGUCUUCACCAGAGAGGACGAUGCCCUGAAC